RNA transcript from Hyla sarda, 2330 nucleotides. It is a transcript of the gene named coiled-coil-helix-coiled-coil-helix domain containing 6, with no coding region annotated. The record is from RefSeq and is a predicted model, not a curated record. NCBI's taxonomy places the organism in Eukaryota, Metazoa, Chordata, Amphibia, Anura, Hylidae. The transcript is spliced from 10 exons.
UGGCUGACGUCCUUUCAUGGACUCCAAUGGUCGUCGGAUGUUCUCUGCGCUUGCGGAAAGUGUGACAGUUUGGGGUACUGCUGGCGGUGGUUACCCUGGUGAUAAUAAUGGGGGGAAGCGAGAGCACCGGCCGACGGGUGUCCUUCGGGCUGGAUGAGGAGGACAGGGUGCGGGUCCUGCGAGGAGUCCGGCUUUCUGAUGAUAUUGUAAAUCGUAUGAAAGAGUCUGCGCUGCAGAGAGACAAGCACGACAAGGCGGCAAGGACCACCUCAUCAGCUCAGACUUUUCCUCCUAGGGGGCAGUCUACAUCAGAAGACAUAGGCUCUCACCGAUCAAAUACAGGCGGAAGCAAGCAGCCAACAUAUGCAGAGGAUGAACUAUACAGAAGAUAUGAGAAGGAACAAGCCAUUGUCCAGGAGGAACUGGCCCGCAUUGCCAAGAGAGAGCGCGAGACAGCUCAGGAGCUGUACAGCUCUGCCAUUCUUCGUGAGAAGAACUACACAAACCAGGAGCGCGUGAGGACCGAGCAGCUGCCUGCGGAUUUGGAUGAAUGGGCCAAGAAACUUCAGUGUAAAGAGGAAGAGCUUAAAAAGCUGGAUGCUUUUCACAAGGAGCAACUGGCAAGCAUCGAGAAGAAGAAUCUGGAAAUAUACAAGUUGACAGCUGAACAAUUCCACACUGCAGCGACUAAUGCAGAGUACCGAGUAAAGAAAAGAAGUUAUGACCCGGUUUGCAUGAAUCUUCAGUCCAAUAUUCUCAAAUGUUACACAGCAAACCGCCAAGAGCUUCUCAACUGCAGCGACCUUGCCAAAGAAUAUCGUGCCUGCGUGAGGGAGGCUCAGAAGGAAGUUGCAGUAUAUUAACAGCCAGAGAGCAAAUGGGAGCCAGCCUUUUGUUAAAUUUAAAUCUAUCUUGUCAGGAAAAAACCUGCUCUUCAAUCACGGCUAAUUCGCCUAUUGUGCAAAGGAAGGAAGGAGCUGACCGUCCUUAUAUCUUAGGAGCUGAAGACUGACUACAGGCAAAUGAAGAGUUAAUGUAGAUUUUAUAGAUGGUAAAACAGUAAGAUUCUAUUGCAGAAUAUGAAUUCUAAGACUCGUCCAUCAGACAUAUAUAUUGGUGGGUUCAGCCAACUUUAAUCUAAGGUACCUGAGGCAGAACCUGACACAUGGAUUCACAGAACACCAAAUAGAGACCCUGCACUAGGUACAGUGUAUCGUAUUAGGUUUAUCUGGAAUGUUCCUUUAAAGGGAACCUGUCACACUGAAAAUGCUAUCUAAUCUGCAGACAUUAUGUUAUAGAGCAGGUUGAUAUGUACGUUUGCGCGAAAAAUUCCAGAAUAACUUGUCAUUUAUAUUUAUUAUUAUGUAAACCUCUGCUCUUUCUAGGCUAAGUAGUCAUGUGGGCGGGCCUACUUAUUUUGAUCACAGCUAUAUAUAAAUAAAUGUCAAGUCAUCCUGAAAUUUAUAAUUUUUUCCUGAAAUUAUUCUGCUCAGCCCCUCUUGCUCUAUAAAAUUAUCCCUGCGGAUUAGACCAAAUUUUUACAGGUUCUCUUUAAACUCAUUUAUCCUGAAAAAUGGCUGCCACAUAUUACAAUAUAGAUUUCAAGAGCAUUGAGCCACAACACCGAAAUCCAAAAUUGAUACAGUGUUAUGCCUGGUGUAGGGCCUCAGGGGUCAGAACCAGGAUUUACAUUGUGUCAUGAAUUAUCCCCUCAGGCCCUACAGUAGGCAUAACACAGUGUGCCAGUUUUGCCUGGAGUGUUCUAUGAAAUUUAAAGGAAAACUGUCAGCAAGUUCACCCACACUAAACAGACUACACUGGGUUAUAGUGUGGGUGAACAGGAGUUCAUACAGGGGUCACUUACUUUUUUUGGUCCAUCAGCUGCCGAGUUAUGCCCGUUAUUCCUUUCUUCAGUGUAUGAUUAGCGUUUUCAAGGCGGGACCCCGGACGGCUGUCUGCUUCGGCCUCCCGCACUGAAGUUUCUAUGCCUGACCCCGUUGUUUGAAUAUUCAUUAUCUUCAAGUCCACGUCCUGAACGCAGCGCUCUGUUUUCAGAGCGCAUGCGCAUAGAGAUUUUACCCAGCUCUCACGUCCUGAUGAUGUGAGAACUCUGCGUACUGCUCUCGCUCUGCGCAGUGGCACUGCGAAUGCACCGGUCCCUCACUACACUCGGAAGUCGGGAGAAGCAAGACUUCAGUAUCAACGUACACACAGCAUCAUGCGCAUGCGCUCUGCAAACAGAGCGCUGCGCUCAGGGGAUAUGUGACCCCACGUCACUAGGACGUGGAUUUGAAGAUAAUGAUUAUUCAAAUAACGGGGGCAGGCAUAGA